RNAcentral lists this ribosomal RNA (467 nucleotides) under uncultured bacterium. Its description in RNAcentral is "bacterial SSU rRNA". It matches the Rfam family "Bacterial small subunit ribosomal RNA", at positions 355 to 825 of the family's 1533-position model. The record is from RNAcentral.
UAAGGAAUAUUGGUCAAUGGACGCAAGUCUGAACCAGCCAUGCCGCGUGGAGGAUGAAGGUCCUCUGGAUUGUAAACUUCUUUUAUUUGGGAAGAAACCCACGGUUUCUACUGUGGUUGACGGUACCAGAUGAAUAAGCACCGGCUAACUCCGUGCCAGCAGCCGCGGUAAUACGGAGGGUGCAAGCGUUAUCCGGAUUCACUGGGUUUAAAGGGUGCGUAGGCGGGCAGGUAAGUCAGUGGUGAAAUCCCCGAGCUUAACUUGGGAACUGCCGUUGAUACUAUCUGUCUUGAAUACUAUGGAGGUAAGCGGAAUAUGUCAUGUAGCGGUGAAAUGCUUAGAUAUGACAUAGAACACCAAUUGCGAAGGCAGCUUGCUACACAGUUAUUGACGCUGAGGCACGAAAGCGUGGGGAUCAAACAGGAUUAGAUACCCAUGUAGUCCCUGAGCGGGCUGGCAAGGCGCAU